GAAAUGCGAUAAGUAAUGUGAAUUGCAGAAUUCCGUGAAUCAUCGAAUCUUUGAACGCACAUUGCGCCCUCUGGUAUUCCGGGGGGCAUGCCUGUCCGAGCGUCAUUGCGAACCCCUCAAGCACGGCUUGUGUGAUGGGCCCUCCCGCGUCUUGGUCGUCAAGACGGGCCCGAAAUGCAGUGGCGGCUUCGCGGUUAUCCGAUCAGCCAGAGCGUAUGGGGACUCUCUCUCUGUCACACGCCCGCGGCGCGGACCGACGCCUGUCGACCUUUAUUCAUCUCUUCUCGUUUGACCUCGGAUCAGGUAGGGAUACCCGCUGAACUUAAGC
This 328-nucleotide unclassified non-coding RNA is filed under the name plant metagenome. Its description in RNAcentral is "partial contains 5.8S ribosomal RNA, internal transcribed spacer 2, and large subunit ribosomal RNA". The stretch from base 1 to 105 matches the Rfam family "5.8S ribosomal RNA", at positions 50 to 154 of the family's 154-position model. The record is from RNAcentral.